Small nuclear RNA from Rhopalosiphum maidis (corn leaf aphid), 139 nucleotides. RefSeq annotates it as U4 spliceosomal RNA. The record is from RefSeq and is a predicted model, not a curated record. The transcript has a single exon. NCBI's taxonomy places the organism in Eukaryota, Metazoa, Arthropoda, Insecta, Hemiptera, Aphididae.
AGCUUUGCGCAGUGGCGAUAUCGUAACCAAUGAGGUUCAUCCGAGGUGCGAUUAUUGCUAGUUGAAAACUUUACCAAUACCCCGCCAUGUGGACAUGAAACACUGUCCGCGUAGGCAAUUUUUGGAGGCCCUAACGGGC